This 587-nucleotide ribosomal RNA is filed under the name Riemerella anatipestifer. RNAcentral's name for it is "bacterial SSU rRNA". It matches the Rfam family "Bacterial small subunit ribosomal RNA", at positions 650 to 1245 of the family's 1533-position model. The record is from RNAcentral. Lineage: Bacteria; Pseudomonadati; Bacteroidota; Flavobacteriia; Flavobacteriales; Weeksellaceae.
AGUUGAGGUAGCUGGAAUGAGUAGUGUAGCGGUGAAAUGCAUAGAUAUUACUCAGAACACCGAUUGCGAAGGCAGGUUACCAAGUUAUAACUGACGCUGAGGGACGAAAGCGUGGGGAGCGAACAGGAUUAGAUACCCUGGUAGUCCACGCCGUAAACGAUGCUAACUCGUUUUUGGGCUAUAUGGUUCAGAGACUAAGCGAAAGUGAUAAGUUAGCCACCUGGGGAGUACGACCGCAAGGUUGAAACUCAAAGGAAUUGACGGGGGCCCGCACAAGCGGUGGAUCAUGUGGUUUAAUUCGAUGAUACGCGAGGAACCUUACCAAGGCUUAAAUGGGAAUUGAUAGCUGUAGAAAUACGGUUUUCUUCGGACAAUUUUCAAGGUGCUGCAUGGUUGUCGUCAGCUCGUGCCGUGAGGUGUUAGGUUAAGUCCUGCAACGAGCGCAACCCCUGUCACUAGUUGCCAUCAUUAAGUUGGGGACUCUAGUGAGACUGCCUACGCAAGUAGAGAGGAAGGUGGGGAUGACGUCAAAUCAUCACGGCCCUUACGCCUUGGGCCACACACGUGAUACAAUGGCCGUACAGAGG